GCGCGCGGACGUUGGGGGCGGCAGUGGGCGUGGCCUCCGGAGUCGGCUGAGAGCAGCUGCUCCUUCAAAGCGAGAGGGCGGUCUGUCUGCGCAGGCGCGGGGCGACGGGUACAGCAGUCGCCUCCUUUGCUUUUUUUUGCUGUCUCGAGUCUGGAGGAAAGGAGGAGGAGGAGGAGGCCUUCCUUUAGAGGGGUCAUCUUGGUACUAUUUGGUAUCCUCCAAAUCUUAGUACUGUUAUCUAAGUACAUUGGACUGCAGUAUUUAACACUAUAGACACUUCUCUCAUUAUUGCGAAGACAAGAAGCGCUGGCAAACUUUGCUUCAUUCCUGGUGAAGCAGCGUUGAAGAACAGCAGAAUUUUAGAGUGAAUUUUAGUUAUUUAUGAAAUAACUACUGACUUAAACUUAACUUGGAAACUUGGAAGGUGGCAAACAUGGAGCAGUAUCCAUGUGAUGAAAGUCCCCUCCAAUCUGAGAUGCAGCUUCCUGAGUUUUCGGGGAAUCCAGUGUUGGACUGUAAUGACAGUUUCAGCAAUGACUUAUGCCCAGAUAUGAGAGACAUGAUUUAUUCGGGUCUCAACAACGUGGAUGUGGAUCCUAGCCUUUCAGCCACAAGUGUCAAUAAUGACUCGUUGGAGGACAAUCUGGACACCUUGACCUUAUAUACCAUGAAGGACUGUGAUUCUUCUAAACUCCUUGAUGAUUCUGACAUGGACUCACGGCCGCUCUUGCCUGAAAUAGGGCUUCCUGCUCCUUCUGCACCAAAAGAAGUGGAGCAAGGAGGCCGAUCCAGUUCUGGCAGUGGAAAGAAAGGAAAGAACCAGCAAAACUCCCCACAAGCGUCUUUACUGGAUUGCAGUGUCUGUGGGAAGGCUUUCAGUAGCACCAGCUCACUCAGCAAGCAUUAUCUGACUCACAGCCAGGAGCGGAAGCACGUCUGUAAAAUCUGCAGCAAAGCAUUUAAGCGGCAGGACCACCUGAGUGGUCACAUGCUAACGCACCAAAAAACAAAACCAUUUGUUUGCACAGAACAAGGUUGCAAUAAGAGUUACUCAGACCACCGAUCUCUUCGUCGGCAUUAUGAAAUGCACCAUGGUUUGAAGUUGUUAAAGGAUGAUGAGCUUUGCGAUGGCUCCCCUCCUCCACGUGAGCCACGUGCCCAGAUGGGACCCAGUAGCAUGAGAAGUGCAGAGAAGCAGGUUGUUCACCCUGAACCUCAAGCCCCAAAUGAGUUCCUCUUGACCAAUAGAGACCUGCUCAAGUGUAUUGUCAGUAGCUUUGUUGGCCAGAAGUUUUCACCUGCAGCUUCACCCUCCGUGGGACAGAACGAACCAAGUUCCAGAAGUUCCUUGCAACCUUGCACCUCUCUUUGUGGCCAGAUUUCUUCUGUCCCCACAAGUUCUGAAGCCACUGGAGAUAAAGACAUGAAGGAGCUUUAUUCUUCUCAAAAGAGUGCAGCUUCUUCCAGUUUAUAUACUAUCAUAAAUCCUGGAAGUUUAUCUGUACUUGGACCAACCGAGAACUUAACAAAUUUACAAGACGGGCAACCGUAUCCAGAAUCUCACUUCCCUUUAGAAACCACACCUCCAGAGUAUUGGUCAAACAGUGGUAUCCCUAGUUUCUCAUUACUCCGAGGCCAAAAGAUUCCUGCCACUCCUCUCCAGCCAAGUGGCAGCUUCCAGUUGGUUAGGAGUGUUCCGUCAACCUGCACCAAAAGCAAAGGAAGUAGUGUCUAUGUUGCCCAGGUGUCACCCACUUCGGGUCAAGAUGUUUUACAAGGAGUUGGGGGUCCUUCCCCUGCUUUGGAUUCUUCGUCACAUAACGUUGAGCAUCCUGGUGUUUUGCCGUUCACUCCCCUCUUAAAGGCGCAAGAGGAAGUACCCAGAGAGCCAAAAUUCAGUGGCUUUGAAGAGACUUUCACGCCAGCAACAGGGUUUCCUGAUGCUCUGCAGCGCAGUGUCCUGCAGAAGGGUGAAACAGGGCCAGUCUUUAGGCAGCUAUUUGUAAAAUCUCAAGGAUCUUCUGUGAACCAGGACCAGGUACAAGUCCAGAGUCACCUCUUCCACAGGAUUACCAAAUCUCAGCACAUUGUGUCUCAUGCCCAGAUUUCCGCUUCUUCGCAACUAAUAGCUGGCGAGCCGGAGCCGGUUAUGGCAAAACCAUUGCAAAGCUUGUUGCAGCAGCAGGCGGGUAUGCUUAACCCAAUUCCAGAACCAACAAAGAGGGAAAUGUCUUCUUUAUGUGCGAAGAAGGCCCCAGUGCCAUUUCAGAAGGACCUCUCCUCUGAAAAUGGAAAAGAAGCGCAACGGUCUGCUACUCUUCUGCAGCCCUUUCAGUCAUUCCCUGUACCUUCUCUAAGUUCAGAUGGUAUAUCUCAUGUUACGCAGGCCAGAACCUUGAAAGCAGGAUGCUUGGGAUUCAAAGAAAUCUCCAGCUCCAACCAAUCAGUCAUGUAUGAAACCGCCCCAGGAAACCACACUUACGGGAAGCUGAGCCACUUAGAGAAUGGCUGUCCCGGAUCAAAGAAGAAAGAGAAGAGCAAGGCUUGCACCAAACAAUCAGGUGGCAAAGGGCCUUCUCGAGGGGGUCGACCCCGUCGGAAAGAGAAGCCAAAGUUGGAUGUGUCUUCCAUUGUGUCUCCCAGUCAAGUAGCCAUGGCAUCUUUUUCCAUGCCCAGUACCUCAUUUGACAGUGGGGCCAGAGGGAAGCCAAAGCUACCCAUUUUCAACAGAAUUCAGGGUGGAAAUAUCUACAGUUUUACUAAUUCAGUAAGGGAAGAACACAUUUCCCCUGGAUGUAGUAAGACUGGAGACUGGAGUGAGCAUGGAAACAGCUUUGUUUGCAAGACCUGCAACCAGCUUUUUUAUACUGAGAGAGGCCUGAGCAGUCAUAUGUGUUUCUAUAGUGACCAAUGGCAGUCUCCAUCAGGGAAGCGAAAACAGCAGGCGUCUGAGGCAGAAAAUGUUCAAGCUCAAAAACUAUCCUUGGAGGCAGCAGUGGAUGGAGACACUCCUCCAGAAAUCAAAAGGCCUUCCGAGGAUGUAGGGAUAGCACCUUUUGUCAUUCCCGUCUCUGUUCCUGUUACAACAGCCAAUCAGCAGCAAGAGGACAAAGUUGGUGAGAAGGAAAGCCAGGAUGAAUGGGAUCUCCAGGAAGGCAUGCCACCAAAGAAGAAGAAGAAACGGACCUGUCCAAAAUCACUUUUCAUUCCCCCUCCGCCGCCACUACCACCAACACCAGUCUGCAGUGACAAUCAACCUGGCCCUAGCGGAUUCUACCAGAGUAACCUUCGCUCCCCUGUCUUUCUCAUGGAUUACUUUCUGCAGGGCUUAAUCCAAUGCUCACCGUAUACACCUCCACCAAUGCUCAGCCCAAUCCGUGAGGGUUCAGGGCUGUAUUUCAACACUCUUUGGUCCGCCUCUGCAAACACUGCCCCGCCCAAGUUGCACUGUCCAGUUUUAGAUGAACGAGAUGGCCUUUUGCUUGCCUUUGUAAAAGACCCCACCAAACUCGCCGUAAAACCCCACAUUAAUAUUGGAAGUCGGUUUCAGGCAGAACUCCCUGAACUCCAGGAUAGGUCAUCAGUAGAAAACUAUGAACAUCCUGCUUCACUAAUGUGGAAACCAUGGGGUGAUAUCGCAACCAACGAGGAAACACAGAGCAAAGUGACAGACCUAUUAAAAUUGGCCUGCUCCAGCGCAAUGCCAGGAGGAGGGACCAACACAGAGCUAGCUAUCCAUUGUCUGCAUGAAACCCAAGGAAACGUUUUGGAAGCACUGAAGAUGCUUUUACUCAAAGGACCACAGAAACCACCUUCUCACUCUAUUGCCAACUAUCAUUACACAGGUUCACAACUGUGGACUACAGAAGAGAAGCAGUUGUUUAAGAAGGCCUUUGCCACACACAGAAAGGAUUUUAAUCUCAUACAAAAGAAGAUACAAACUAAAACCGUUUCCCAAUGUGUUGAAUACUACUAUAACUGGAAAAAAGUAAUAAAAUUUAACUGUGGCCGAACAUACAUGGCAGUAAAGAGGAAGAGAGUGCAGGAUGAGGUAGAAAUGGAUGAAGAAAAGAUUAUGUGCAGCCCAAAGAAAAGACACUGUCCGCAGCCUAAACAGGAGAAUAAAAUAAAGGCAAGGAAUUACAAAAAGCCAGCACAGAGCACCGUCAGUCCAACCUGCAGCCAGAACGAAACUCUAGAUAGGUCCAGAAGCGCAGGGAGUCAGGGUGUGUUCCCGUGCAAAGAGUGUGCAAGAGUGUUUGACAAGAUAAAGAGCCGGAACGCUCACAUGAAGCGCCAUCGCCUCCAGGAUCAGAUGGAACCCACGAUAAAGAUUAAGUGGCCCAUAAAGCAUCCGAAAAACGAGCCAAAGAGGGAAGAGAGAAAUUUGGGUGCUGAUUUCAUACCGUGGUAACUGGGAAAGCACCAUUCCAGGGUAAGUAUGCUGAUAAACCUGUCCAGCCCAAGGAACAAAAUCAGAAGGAUGCAUUGCAGUUUUAAACAAAACUGUAGUGCUGAUUUCAUACCGUGGUAACUGGGAAAGCACCAUUCCAGGGGUUCUGGUAUGUAUGUAUAUAUAUAUAGGAUGGAAUAGAUCAAUCACUGAGAAAUCACCAUUGCAUUUAGUAUCUUUUUUGGGACUUAUGUUUACACAGCUGCUUUUUUAUUCAUUAUGUAGUACUUUGGUUAUUGUUGUUUUGUAUGCACUCACAUUGUUAUUAAAUUUAGUUCCUUAUUAAAAGUUUUAAUGUAGAAUAUGACUAUCAUAGUGACCCAAACGUCUUAUCAUAAAUAAAUAAAUUUGUAACCCUU
This is an RNA transcript of Anolis carolinensis (green anole), 4812 nucleotides long. It is a transcript of the gene named zinc finger protein 541, with no coding region annotated. NCBI's taxonomy places the organism in Eukaryota, Metazoa, Chordata, Lepidosauria, Squamata, Anolidae. The transcript is spliced from 18 exons. The record is from RefSeq and is a predicted model, not a curated record.